RNAcentral lists this unclassified non-coding RNA (240 nucleotides) under soil metagenome. Its description in RNAcentral is "partial contains 5.8S ribosomal RNA, internal transcribed spacer 2, and large subunit ribosomal RNA". The record is from RNAcentral.
AACGCACGAGACCUGCGGACCUGCGGAAGGAUCAUUAAUGAGAAGCUGCCCCUCGUGGGUAGACCUCCCACCCUCUGUGAACUUACCUUUGUUGCUUUGGCAGGCCCGUCCUCUGGACCGCCGGCUUCGGCUGGCCCGUGCCUGCUAGAGGAUUCCAAACCCUGUCUGUCAGUGUUGUCUGAGUCUAUAUGAAAUCGUUAAAACUUUCAGCAAUGGAUCUCUAGAUCGGAAGAGCACACG